Molecule: long non-coding RNA, 306 nt
Filed under: Elaeis guineensis (African oil palm)
Lineage: Eukaryota; Viridiplantae; Streptophyta; Magnoliopsida; Arecales; Arecaceae
Description: long non-coding RNA (EGUI_LNC031903)
Source: RNAcentral
UACUGACCUAGCAUAGAAAGUGCUGGGAGGUAGCCACUAAGCAUGCACCUUUGCUGCACUAUCUUGAGCAUGUAUUUCCAUAGUAUAUACCUUCUUGACUUUGCUAAUGCUAUGUUCUUUAAACUUUAUGUAAAAGCAAUUUUCCCUUAAGUUUUGGUGUGAUACAAUUAUUUGGCAUCACUGGAAAGCAUUUUCAACUUCAUCUAGUCCUCACAAAUUCUAAUGAAAACUAAAAUUAAUUGUUGGAGGAGUCAACUCUCUACCAUCUUCUAAAAACUACCAGUAAUAAAUUGCAAUAAAUAUUCA